RNAcentral lists this ribosomal RNA (1038 nucleotides) under uncultured bacterium. RNAcentral describes it as "bacterial SSU rRNA". It matches the Rfam family "Bacterial small subunit ribosomal RNA", at positions 72 to 1128 of the family's 1533-position model. The record is from RNAcentral.
AAGCUGACUGCUCUGGUGGACGAGUGGCGACGGGUGAGUAACACGUGAGUAACCUGCCCCUGACUCUGGGAUAAGCCUGGGAAACUGGGUCUAAUACCGGAUACGAGACGAGAUCGCAUGGUCAUCGUCGGGAAAGAAUUUCGGUCAGGGAUGGACUCGCGGCCUAUCAGCUUGUUGGCGGGGUAAUGGCCCACCAAGGCGACGACGGGUAGCCGGCCUGAGAGGGCGACCGGCCACACUGGAACUGAGACACGGUCCAGACUCCUACGGGAGGCAGCAGUGGGGAAUAUUGCACAAUGGGCGCAAGCCUGAUGCAGCGACGCCGCGUGGGGGAUGAAGGCCUUCGGGUUGUAAACCCCUUUCAGCAGGGAAGAAGCGAAAGUGACGGUACCUGCAGAAGAAGCGCCGGCUAACUACGUGCCAGCAGCCGCGGUAAUACGUAGGGCGCAAGCGUUGUCCGGAAUUAUUGGGCGUAAAGAGCUCGUAGGCGGUUCGUCACGUCUGCUGUGAAAACCAGAGGCUCAACCUCUGGCCUGCAGUGGGUACGGGCGAACUAGAGUGUGGUAGGGGAGACUGGAAUUCCUGGUGUAGCGGUGGAAUGCGCAGAUAUCAGGAGGAACACCGAUGGCGAAGGCAGGUCUCUGGGCCACUACUGACGCUGAGGAGCGAAAGCAUGGGGAGCGAACAGGAUUAGAUACCCUGGUAGUCCAUGCCGUAAACGGUGGGCACUAGAUGUGGGGGCCAUUCCAUGGUUUCCGCGUCGCAGCUAACGCAUUAAGUGCCCCGCCUGGGGAGUACGGCCGCAAGGCUAAAACUCAAAGGAAUUGACAGGGGCCCGCACAAGCGGCGGAGCAUGCGGAUUAAUUCGAUGCAACGCGAAGAACCUUACCAAGGCUUGACAUAUACGGUUUAUCCAUAGAGAUAUGGAGUCAUUUAGUUGGCUGUAUACAGUGGUGCAUGGUUGUCGUCAGCUCGUGUCGUGAGAUGUUGGGUUAAGUCCCGCAACGAGCGCACCCUCGUUCUAUGUGCAGCAUUUAG